GAUGAAGAACGCAGCGAAAUGCGAUACUUGGUGUGAAUUGCAGAAUCCCGUGAACCAUCGAGUCUUUGAACGCAAGUUGCGCCCGAAGCCAUUAGGCCGAGGGCACGCCUGCCUGGGCGUCACACGUCGUUGCCCCCCCAUCUACUCCUUCGGGAUUGCGGGGGGCGGAUGAUGGCCUCCCGUGCGCCUCGUCGCGCGGUUGGCAUAAAUGCCAAGUCCUCGGCGACGCACGCCACGACAAUCGGUGGUUGCGAAACCUCGGUUGCCCGUCGUGUGCGGUCGUCGCGCAUCGAGGGCUCGAAAAAAUUGUCGGGCUCCGGCUCGGCUUUCAACGCGACCCCAGGUCAGGCGGGGUUACCCGCUGAAUUUAAGCAUAUCAAUACGGAGGA
This 389-nucleotide unclassified non-coding RNA is filed under the name soil metagenome. RNAcentral describes it as "partial contains 5.8S ribosomal RNA, internal transcribed spacer 2, and large subunit ribosomal RNA". The stretch from base 1 to 122 matches the Rfam family "5.8S ribosomal RNA", at positions 35 to 154 of the family's 154-position model. The record is from RNAcentral.